This 73-nucleotide transfer RNA is filed under the name Adineta vaga. RNAcentral describes it as "tRNA-Val for anticodon CAC". It matches the Rfam family "tRNA". Rfam says of the family: Transfer RNA (tRNA) molecules are approximately 80 nucleotides in length. RNAcentral also lists the same sequence under 1 other name. Lineage: Eukaryota; Metazoa; Rotifera; Eurotatoria; Adinetida; Adinetidae. The record is from RNAcentral.
GGUUCGAUGGUGUAGUGGUUAUCACGUCUGCUUCACACGCAGAAGGUCGCGAGUUCAAACCUCGCUCGAACCU